Long non-coding RNA from Cyprinus carpio (common carp), 1272 nucleotides. NCBI's taxonomy places the organism in Eukaryota, Metazoa, Chordata, Actinopteri, Cypriniformes, Cyprinidae. The record is from Ensembl.
CCAGGAACGUGUCUUACUUGGUAAAAUCAUGGCUAAAGGGGUUGAGUUAAUAAGUGAGGUAAUUAAUAAGGUACACCAAUGUCAGUGAGAACGUGUUGCUUUCACUGUGUGCUGCUCCUUUAAAAUAACUUGUUGUUCAUUACGGUUCAUGUUGCAGAAUGUGGCAGGGCUGCAUUCCAUUUUAUAUAAGAAAAGGAAAUGAAAAAUAAUGCUCACAAACAGUUGGAAAGCAGAUAAAUGUUAACCUACCUGGAGCUAAAUUUUUUUCUUUUCUUAAGCAAGCAGAAAUCUGUAUUGUGAGGUUGAAGAAUGGUUGAAGAAUACUAAUUUAGACUAAAAUGAGUGGGGACAGAGGCCCUGCUAUUGAACUGGAUGUUUUAAGCCUAAACAAGCCAAAUGAAUCUGCUUCACCGGGACAGAGUUAUGUGUCUUUGGGGAACGAGUCUAUGAUUCCUCAGUUAACCCUGAAAGAGAAAACAUCUCAGCACAGGUUGAUUAAUCGUGAGGACUCUGACUUCUCUCUGCCCAGCAGUUUGUCAAUGAAAAGUGAGCAGUCAAUGGGUUAUCCUCAUAGCAUCAGUGGAGGACCAGUCACUACAGAACUGAAAUUGAACAAGCCAGAUAAAUCUGCUUUACCAGGACUGAAUUAUGUGUCUUUGGAGAAUGAGUCAAUGUCUCCUCAGUUAACAUUGAGGGACAUAAAUGCUCAACACAGGUUGAUUAAUCGUGAGGACUCUGACUUCUCUCUGCCCAGCGGUUUGUCAAUGAAAAGUGAGCUGUCAAUGGAUCAUCCUUACAACAUCAGUGGAGGACCAAUCACUACAGAACUGAAGUAUGUUAGUCUAGCAUUAAGCAACAGUCUGUUUCUGUUAACAUCAACAAUGUAACAGUUUUUGGUGCAUAUAUGUAUUAAUUAUAGUCUUUAGACAUGUGUACCAAAAUGGUCUUGGUGUGAACAGGCCUUACAAUUAGCAUAAAUAGAGGCCCUGCUCUUGAUCAGCAUUUUUCAGAACCAUCUAGAGCCUGAGCUGAUCAUAGAGACCAAUGGCUUGUUCCACUGUUUUCUACGGUGUACUAAGGCUUAUGGUACCUUUGCAUUUCCCAAAAGCAAAGUAUAAGGAUUUUUUUUUUUUUUUUUUUUUCAAUCAUGAUUGCACAUGCGCAUUAUUGAGCCCACAACAUAAAGUGCUUGGACAGAAUUGUAUGAAUGUAUGUAUUUAUUUAUUUAUUUAUAGCUUGAACAAGCCAAAUAAACCUUCUUCACCAGGACCA